This 73-nucleotide transfer RNA is filed under the name Stegodyphus mimosarum. It matches the Rfam family "tRNA". From Rfam's summary of the family: Transfer RNA (tRNA) molecules are approximately 80 nucleotides in length. The record is from Rfam by way of RNAcentral. Lineage: Eukaryota; Metazoa; Arthropoda; Arachnida; Araneae; Eresidae.
GCCUUCGUGAUGUAAUGGUCAACACGUUAGGCGCGUAUUUGAGAGGUUCGUGGUUCGAGUCCCGGCGAGGGCA